GACGAACGCUGGUGGCGUGCUUAACACAUGCAAGUCGAACGGAAAGGCCCUGCUUGCAGGGUACUCGAGUGGCGAACGGGUGAGUAACACGUGGGUGAUCUGCCCUGCACUUCGGGAUACGCCUGGGAAACUGGGUCUAAUACCGGAUAGGAGCCAUUUUUAGUGUGAUGGUUGGAAAGUUUUUUCGGUGUAGGAUGAGCUCGCGGCCUAUCAGCUUGUUGGUGGGGUAAUGGCCUACCAAGGCGGCGACGGGUAGCCGGCCUGAGAGGGUGGACGGCCACAUUGGGACUGAGAUACGGCCCAGACUCCUACGGGAGGCAGCAGUGGGGAAUAUUGCACAAUGGGCGCAAGCCUGAUGCAGCGACGCCGCGUGGGGGAUGACGGCCUUCGGGUUGUAAACUCCUUUCGCUAGGGACGAAGCUUUUGUGACGGUACCUAGAGAAGAAGCACCGGCUAACUACGUG
Molecule: ribosomal RNA, 464 nt
Filed under: uncultured bacterium
Lineage: Bacteria
Description: partial 16S ribosomal RNA
Rfam family: Bacterial small subunit ribosomal RNA
Source: RNAcentral